UACGGGGGGGGCAAGCGUUGUUCGGAAUUACUGGGCGUAAAGGGCGCGUAGGCGGCCUUCUAAGUCAGACGUGAAAUCCCUCGGCUUAACCGGGGAACUGCGUCUGAUACUGGAGGGCUUGGAUCCGGGAGAGGGAUGCGGAAUUCCAGGUGUAGCGGUGAGAUGCGUAGAUAUCUGGAGGAACACCGGUGGCGAAGGCGGCAUCCUGGACCGGCAUCGACGCUGAGGCGCGAAAGCCAGGGGAGCAAACGGG
Molecule: ribosomal RNA, 253 nt
Filed under: uncultured bacterium
Lineage: Bacteria
Description: partial 16S ribosomal RNA
Rfam family: Bacterial small subunit ribosomal RNA
Source: RNAcentral